AGGUCCCAUUUGUCCAGGGGAUUGGUCCUGGUGUCAUUCCAACCAAUUUGGAUUUAAGCAUUGAUGAAGUCAUUCAGGUGACAAGUGAGAAGCUAUUGAAACAGCCAAGCUUCUUGCUCUUAAAGAAGGAUUAUUGGUGGGAAUAUCGUCAGGGGCUGCAGCAGCCGCUGCAUUAAAGGUUGCUAAACGGCCAGAAAACGCAGGCAAACUUAUUGUGGUGAUUUUUCCCAGUGGAGGAGAGCGUUAUUUAUCAACAGAACUGUUCGAGUCGGUCAGAUAUGAAGCAGAGCAUUUGUCGAUCGAUUGAUUGCCAAAUGUGUGAUUUGGUUUGGUUUGGUGAGAGAUGUUGGUAACGAGAUUACGGUUUGAUUGUUUCAGAUCAUUGUAAAAUCUGUAAUAGUAUUAGAUGAUGAAUCAUUAUAGUUGUUCUUCAUUACUGUA
Brassica napus (rape) is the source of this 441-nucleotide long non-coding RNA. RefSeq lists it as uncharacterized. Lineage: Eukaryota; Viridiplantae; Streptophyta; Magnoliopsida; Brassicales; Brassicaceae. The record is from RefSeq and is a predicted model, not a curated record. The transcript has 4 exons.